Molecule: ribosomal RNA, 553 nt
Filed under: Meyerozyma caribbica
Lineage: Eukaryota; Fungi; Ascomycota; Pichiomycetes; Serinales; Debaryomycetaceae
Description: LSU rRNA
Rfam family: Eukaryotic large subunit ribosomal RNA
Source: RNAcentral
CGGCAAAAGCUCAAAUUUGAAAUCUGGCACCUUCGGUGUCCGAGUUGUAAUUUGAAGAUUGUAACCUUGGGGUUGGCUCUUGUCUAUGUUUCUUGGAACAGGACGUCACAGAGGGUGAGAAUCCCGUGCGAUGAGAUGCCCAAUCCUAUGUAAGGUGCUUUCGAAGAGUCGAGUUGUUUGGGAAUGCAGCUCUAAGUGGGUGGUAAAUUCCAUCUAAAGCUAAAUAUUGGCGAGAGACCGAUAGCGAACAAGUACAGUGAUGGAAAGAUGAAAAGAACUUUGAAAAGAGAGUGAAAAAGUACGUGAAAUUGUUGAAAGGGAAGGGUUUGAGAUCAGACUCGAUAUUUUGUGAGCCUUGCCUUCGUGGCGGGGUGACCCGCAGCUUAUCGGGCCAGCAUCGGUUUGGGCGGUAGGAUAAUGGCGUAGGAAUGUGACUUUGCUUCGGUGAAGUGUUAUAGCCUGCGUUGAUGCUGCCUGCCUAGACCGAGGACUGCGAUUUUAUCAAGGAUGCUGGCAUAAUGAUCCCAAACCGCCCGUCUUGAAACACGGACCA